GGUCGAAUGGUGUAGUGGUUAUCACGUUCGCCUCACAUGUAUUCAUACAGUGCUCGCGAAAGGUCGGGGGUUCAAGCCCCCCUUCGACCU
Molecule: transfer RNA, 90 nt
Filed under: Fusarium langsethiae
Lineage: Eukaryota; Fungi; Ascomycota; Sordariomycetes; Hypocreales; Nectriaceae
Rfam family: tRNA
About the family: Transfer RNA (tRNA) molecules are approximately 80 nucleotides in length. Their secondary structure includes four short double-helical elements and three loops (D, anti-codon, and T loops).
Source: Rfam by way of RNAcentral